GCAAUUGGUUCGCCUGAGUGGCGAAUAAUAGGGAAUGGGGUGAGAAUCCCCAACAGUCCCGCUGCUGUAUUUCGUCCUUUUGGGGCAAACAAAACGUCACUGAAUGAUUCUUCGGGAAGACGUUUGCCGCCAGACGAUAAGUCAGAAGACCUGCCGUUGCC
RNAcentral lists this non-coding RNA (161 nucleotides) under uncultured Prevotella sp. The record is from RNAcentral. Lineage: Bacteria; Pseudomonadati; Bacteroidota; Bacteroidia; Bacteroidales; Prevotellaceae.